AGAAGACUUUGUUGGCCCGAACAGUCCCUUUCACCUGUCGGCUGCAUUGGAUUAUACAUCUCUUUCUCUCUUAUUUUUCCCACUGAGGUCAUCAGAAUUUACUCAAGUUUGAGUCCAGCAGUUUACCAGGUUCUUGUUUAUCCUUUAUUAGAUUUUUCUUUCUCGAAAGCCAUCAGCUGCAGAGCCUGAUCUACUUUGGCUGCAGCCUUCCCAAGUUGGUGUCUUUUAUCACAUCUCAGCCAAAUUCUCAUCCGGUUUUUAUUUGUCAAGUUCCUACCCUUCACUUCACCCCCCCUCCUCCUUUUUUUCUUUAUGUCGUACCUGAAUUUCUAAAUUCUGAUCCAGAAUCAGAAAGCUGCUUUCUUCCUCUUAAAAUUUUCUUAUCUGGGUAUUUCGUCUCUUUUCUAAUUUUAGUCCGGGAUUCUAUCUUACAGAAGUUGGAACCAAUUUUCCGUGCUUUUUUGAAAAUUUAGUAUCAUAUUCCUGUUUCCUGAUCUGGGUAUCAUCUGAAUCUGCUUCUGUAUAACUGGGAAAUUGGGCUAUAACUAGAAAUGGGCCUUUGUUUGACCAAAGAUAAAAAUACUCAGCCACGGCUCUACAAUGAUACUGCUGGGAUGGUGAAUCAUCAGAAACCCCAAGAACCAAUUGUCUAUCAAUCUAAAUCCCCAGUCCAGCCAGCCUAUCAACUACCCUCCCAGCAACCUGCACAAAUCCCAAGAAAGCCUGCUGUUCCAGCGCCAAGCCCAAAACCAGUCCAUAGACCAGAAACAAUUCUUGAAAAACCAUAUGAGGAUGUCAAGUUGUAUUAUACAAUUGGGAAAGAACUGGGUAGGGGUCAAUUUGGUGUAACUUACCUUUGUACUGAGAUUUCAACUGGUAAGCAAUAUGCUUGCAAGUCAAUAUCCAAGAGGAAACUUGUUACCAAGAAUGAUAAGGACGAUAUGAAGAGGGAGAUUCAAAUAAUGCAGCAUUUGAGUGGACAACCUAAUAUUGUUGAGUUUAAAGGUGCUUAUGAGGAUAAGCAAUCUGUGCAUCUUGUGAUGGAGUUGUGUGCAGGAGGCGAGUUGUUUGAUAGGAUUAUUGCGAAGGGGCACUAUAGUGAGAAGGAAGCCGCUGCUAUAUGCAGGGCAAUUGUCAAUGUUGUGCAUGCCUGUCAUUUUAUGGGUGUGAUGCAUAGAGAUCUUAAGCCUGAAAAUUUCUUGCUCUCUAGCAAGAAUCACGCUGCCCUUUUAAAAGCAACUGAUUUUGGACUUUCAGUGUUCAUCCAAGAAGGUAGUAUCUUUUUAUCAAUUCUCAUACUUUCUCAGUCAAUUUGUUUUGAUUAUGAUAGUCUCACUAGAAAUAGAAAAUUUUGUUUUCUUAAAAUGAUCCAAUCCAGGAUAGAUUGGAAGAGUUUACAAUUAGAUUUUGCAUUCUUUUGCCCCUAACUCUCUGUUGAUGUGAGCUGAAAUUAUUCUCCAGGAUUUGGUUAAAACUUCAAAAUACUCGACUUACAGAUUUAUACAUCAGCUGGAUUGCAUCCUCUGGUUGGAAAAUCUGCUGUUUGAUAGACCUAGCAUGUCUUAGACCUUGCUAAUAAGAGCUGAGAAGUGAGAACCUCAAUACAUUUCACAGUCUCUGUAGCACGGUUCAGUAAUCCAAAUGGUCUUCGAAGAUCUUGGUUCGAAGCGACUUUCAAUAUUAGAUAGUUGUUGCUUUUAAGCUUGCAACAUUAUAUGGCCUCUACUCUGUCGCGAAAUUAAAGCAAGAACAUUUCUGCAUUUUUACUGAUAGUGUGUUUUAUUUUGUACCUUCCAUUGUCAUUUACCUCUCUUAUACUUGCAACUUGCUGGCUUAUUCUGGGUAAUUUAUCCCUUUGGAUGCAUUUAUUCUCCUCAAUAAUCCACCAAGCUAAGUGCCUUGAGACUGCAUACUGGAGUGGACAAUUUGAAGAUCUUCCCUUUGUAUUCUACUGGUAUUAGAUACCUUUUAAUCUCCUCGCGAAAAUAAAUAUGAUACUCUGGAGAUGAAUAAAGUUGACUUCCUAUUGUAGUUCAAAAUUGCCUUCAUUUAAGUAAAGUUGUUCUCUGUCUUAAUUUGGGUGUACCUUUCCUCACAACAUAUGAUUGCACGUGUAUUUUAGGCUUGUAGCCAUGAGAAGAAUGUGUAAUGUUGCCUAUUGUAUUAUUUCCAGGAAAGGUAUAUCGUGAUAUUGUUGGAAGUGCAUACUAUGUUGCUCCUGAAGUAUUACGUCGCAGAUAUGGAAAGGAAAUAGACAUUUGGAGUGCAGGAAUCAUGCUGUAUAUCUUGCUUAGUGGUGUACCUCCAUUUUGGGCAGAAACGGAGAAGGGCAUAUUUGAUGCCAUUUUACAAGGAGAUAUUGACUUUGACAGUCAACCAUGGCCAUCAAUAUCAAGUGGUGCUAAGGACCUGGUCAGAAGAAUGCUGACACAGGACCCAAAAAAAAGAAUUACUUCUGCUCAAGUUCUUGAGCAUCCAUGGCUCAAGGAAGGUGGAGAAGCCUCAGAUAAGCCAAUUGAUAGUGCAGUCCUUUCAAGGAUGAAGCAAUUUAGA
RNAcentral lists this unclassified non-coding RNA (2553 nucleotides) under Hevea brasiliensis (rubber tree). The record is from RNAcentral. Lineage: Eukaryota; Viridiplantae; Streptophyta; Magnoliopsida; Malpighiales; Euphorbiaceae.